UGGCUAACUCCGUGCCAGCAGCCGCGGUAAUACGGAGAGGGCUAGCGUUAUUCGGAAUUAUUGGGCGUAAAGGGCGCGUAGGCUGGUUAAUAAGUUAAAAGUGAAAUCCCGAGGCUUAACCUUGGAAUUGCUUUUAAAACUAUUAAUCUAGAGAUUGAAAGAGGAUAGAGGAAUUCCUGAUGUAGAGGUAAAAUUCGUAAAUAUUAGGAGGAACACCAGUGGCGAAGGCGUCUAUCUGGUUCAAAUCUGACGCUGAAGCGCGAAGGCGUGGGGAGCAAACAGGAUUAGAUACCCUGGUAGUCCAC
This 305-nucleotide ribosomal RNA is filed under the name Wolbachia pipientis. RNAcentral's name for it is "bacterial SSU rRNA". It matches the Rfam family "Bacterial small subunit ribosomal RNA", at positions 494 to 798 of the family's 1533-position model. Lineage: Bacteria; Pseudomonadati; Pseudomonadota; Alphaproteobacteria; Rickettsiales; Anaplasmataceae. The record is from RNAcentral.